AAUGCCACCUUUUUGAGAAGA
Molecule: microRNA, 21 nt
Filed under: Callithrix jacchus (white-tufted-ear marmoset)
Lineage: Eukaryota; Metazoa; Chordata; Mammalia; Primates; Cebidae
Description: cja-miR-513g-3p
Gene: cja-miR-513g-3p
Source: miRBase by way of RNAcentral